RNAcentral lists this unclassified non-coding RNA (344 nucleotides) under soil metagenome. RNAcentral describes it as "partial contains 5.8S ribosomal RNA, internal transcribed spacer 2, and large subunit ribosomal RNA". The stretch from base 1 to 120 matches the Rfam family "5.8S ribosomal RNA", at positions 35 to 154 of the family's 154-position model. The record is from RNAcentral.
GAUGAAGAACGCAGCGAAAUGCGAUAACUAAUGUGAAUUGCAGAAUUCAGUGAAUCAUCGAAUCUUUGAACGCACAUUGCGCCCGCCAGUAUUCUGGCGGGCAUGCCUGUUCGAGCGUCAUUUCAACCCUCAAGCCCCCGGGCUUGGUGUUGGGGAUCGGCGUGCCCUCGCGGCGCGCCGUCCCCUAAAUCUAGUGGCGGUCUCGCUGUAGCUUCCUCUGCGUAGUAGCAACACUCGCACUGGAUCGCAGCGCGGCCACGCCGUUAACCCCCCCACUUCUGAAAGUUUGACCUCGGAUCAGGUAGGAAUACCCGCUGAACUUAAGCAUAUCAAUAAGCGGAGGA